Molecule: ribosomal RNA, 253 nt
Filed under: uncultured bacterium
Lineage: Bacteria
Description: partial 16S ribosomal RNA
Rfam family: Bacterial small subunit ribosomal RNA
Source: RNAcentral
UACGGGGGGGGCAAGCGUUGUUCGGAAUUACUGGGCGUAAAGGGCUCGUAGGCGGCCAACUAAGUCAGACGUGAAAUCCCCAGGCUCAACCCGGGAACUGCGUCCGAUACUGGCAGGCUUGAAUCCGGGAGAGGGAUGCGGAAUUCCAGGUGUAGCGGUGAAAUGCGUAGAUAUCUGGAGGAACACCGGUGGCGAAGGCGGCAUCCUGGACCGGCAUUGACGCUGAGGCGCGAAAGCCAGGGGAGCAAACGGG